AAAUAAGAAGCGACAUUAUUGCCCCCAGUUUCGACCUGGAAUUAGAUGAAAAUUCAUCCUUAUUUA
This 66-nucleotide transfer RNA is filed under the name Diestrammena asynamora. Its description in RNAcentral is "tRNA-Arg". Lineage: Eukaryota; Metazoa; Arthropoda; Insecta; Orthoptera; Rhaphidophoridae. The record is from RNAcentral.